AGCGUGUGGUUUAAAGAGCCGCGGUUUUUGACCGUGCAAAGGUAGCAUAAUCAUUAGUUUCUUAUUAGGGGCUUGAAUGAAUGGUUUAACGAGAAAUUAACUGUCUCUUAAUAAAUUUUGGAAUUUAACUUUUGAGUUAAAAGGCUUAAAUAUUUCUUUAGGACGAGAAGACCCUAUAGAGCUUAACAUUUUUAAUGUUUAGUUGGGGUGACUUGAAGAAUAAUUAAACUCUUCAUUAUUAAAUCAUUAAUUUAUGUUUAUUUGAUCCAUAAUUUAUGAUCAUAAGAUUAAGUUACCUUAGGGAUAACAGCGUAAUCAUUUUUGAGAGUUCCUAUCGACAAAAUGGGUUGCGACCUCGAUGUUGGAUUAAGAUUAAUUUUAGGUGUAGUAGC
Molecule: ribosomal RNA, 392 nt
Filed under: Dissosteira carolina (Carolina grasshopper)
Lineage: Eukaryota; Metazoa; Arthropoda; Insecta; Orthoptera; Acrididae
Description: partial large subunit ribosomal RNA
Rfam family: Archaeal large subunit ribosomal RNA
Source: RNAcentral